RNAcentral lists this ribosomal RNA (253 nucleotides) under uncultured bacterium. RNAcentral's name for it is "partial 16S ribosomal RNA". It matches the Rfam family "Bacterial small subunit ribosomal RNA", at positions 99 to 353 of the family's 1533-position model. The record is from RNAcentral.
CGGACGGGUGAGUAAUGUCUGGGAAACUGCCUGAUGGAGGGGGAUAACUACUGGAAACGGUAGCUAAUACCGCAUAACGUCGCAAGACCAAAGAGGGGGACCUUCGGGCCUCUUGCCAUCAGAUGUGCCCAGAUGGGAUUAGCUAGUAGGUGGGGUAACGGCUCACCUAGACGACGAUCCCUAGCUGGUCUGAGAGGAUGACCAGCCACACUGGAACUGAGACACGGUCCAGACUCCUACGGGAGGCAGCAUG